RNAcentral lists this transfer RNA (113 nucleotides) under Aspergillus luchuensis CBS 106.47. Its description in RNAcentral is "tRNA-Leu". It matches the Rfam family "tRNA". From Rfam's summary of the family: Transfer RNA (tRNA) molecules are approximately 80 nucleotides in length. Their secondary structure includes four short double-helical elements and three loops (D, anti-codon, and T loops). Lineage: Eukaryota; Fungi; Ascomycota; Eurotiomycetes; Eurotiales; Aspergillaceae. The record is from RNAcentral.
GGCAAGAUGGCCGAGUUGGUCCAAGGCGUCAGGUUAAGGUCCACCUUAAUACCCCAGCUUUACAGCUUCCUGAUCAUCGUAAGAUGGCGUGGGUUCGAAUCCCACUCUUGUCA